UGCAAACCCCAGGCCACCAAAGCAGAGUGCUCGAACUUAACCGCUGCGCCACUGGUCCAGCCCUCUUUUGUUUCAUUUUUGAUGCAAAAACUCCCUGAAAAGUGUCUUCAGUUUUUUACGAGUUAACUAACACAGUAUUAGGACCAGCUGAUGGACAUUUGAGGGAAAAGAAAAUAGGUACCUAGAAGUGGAGAAAUCAGAAGCUUGGAGUACUGGGUAGAGGAACCCAGGAAAGUUAGAAGACAAAGGGAACGCCAAAGGCUGCUGUCUACACAGAAGUGCACACAGCCCUGACACACAAGGACCCCAGGGAGUGUUCAAACACGAUGGUCUUAAGGAAACCGGCUUCCGUGUGCACUCUGUCCUACGACUGCCAUCCCUGAGGGCUCACCCUGGAGGAUCACACCUGCCAUUUCAGGUGCUCAGCCCUCUUGGCAGAAGAAAAGCAUGCCUCUCAGCCAUUAGGCAUCUCCAGGAUGCCCAACAAAAGCACAAUUCAAAAUAUUGGUGACAAGGAGCCUCUUUUAAUCAGAGCAUCUAGAGCCCACAAUAGGGCUUUUAUCUUUCCCUGAUAUGUACACAUUUCAAUAAGGACAAAGGAUGGCAUUGGAAACCAGGCAUCUGGGCCUGUUUUGUGUGUUUUGAACUCUGAUAUAUUUAGAGUGAGACAGUGAGAGCAAUGGCAGCUCAGGCCUCCCAAAAAGCACAAAAGUAGAAGUAACCAAGACUUGGCUUAGACGCAGGGCUGGGACAUCACUUUGGUUAAAGUGAGUCACAGGGCCAGUCCAGAUUCAAUGUGGGAGGGUCUACAGAAGGGUGUGAGUACCGGGAGCCAUGGCCCGUCGGGAGCCAUCUUUAAAGACCAACUAUGACAGUAAAAACUUCCUCAGCUAUCUGAAUAGUUAAAGAUGGGUCUAGAAGAGUUCUCGCACUUUAACAAGUUCACCCAUAGUGUCAAUAGUUGGAAAUUUUUUGAGUUUCCAAAUACUUUAAGAGAAUUAGAUCUGUUGAUCUAUCACUCAUGCAUAUAAAUCACAUUAAUCAAAGGGCACCUAUUAAAAGCGUGGAGGCUUUGUUGGGGAGUAAUCUUUAUAUUAUUUUUGGCAUUGCUUGAUCAUAACUCUUUGGCCCUUAGAAUUUCAGAGCUAGUAGGAACUUUAGAAAUCACCUUGUUUUGGGAUGGCGCGUUUCAUUCUGAUGCAAUUUUGGUCCAUUGCUGGUAGCAUCAAAUGGCUACUUAAUAGCAUUUCAGGGAUUAGAACCAGGUCUCUUGAUUUCCCUUCAAAUGUUUUUCUCCAAACAGCAGAUUGCCUCUGUUUGGGUUUCUGUUUUUAGUAAAUAAGAGUUAAAUCGAAAGGAUUGUGUAUACCUGUUAAAGAGGUGAUGGAUCCAAAAGCUUCUAUAAUUUUCUUUUCCUCAAUUUUAAAGUAAACAUAGUAGUUCUCAAGCCCUACAUUAUUUUUUUUAUCUUCCCCUCAGUUGAUGCAAAGAUACAAUUAGCCACUAAAAAAGUCUGAAAUCCAUACUUCUUAUCUUUUUUGGAUAUGGAAGUGAAAUGUAUUUUGUUUAUAUUUUUGCCCUAUAUGGUAGAAGAUAAAGAGAACGCCUUCGUUUCAGACUGAAGAGGAUAGAGCUUUCAAUCUCAUAGUAGUUCCUUUCAUUUCUGAAUUCCAGGUAUGUAACUGGCAGCAGGUAAUAAAUUCAGGGCCACGGCUGCCUCUGGUGCCCAAACGUCCCUCCAUCACAGCGGCUGCUGGGUUACAGGGCUUGCCCGCGUAGGAGCCCACAGAAGGGCGGCAGAACCCAGGACCUGGCCCAGGAGCUUGAAUCUCAACCCUUUGACAAGUUUUUUAUCCUCUCCACCUCACUCUCCUCGUGUGUUAAAUGGGAAACUUUCAAAGAGUUCUUUUCAGUAUUGAAUGACAGCAUGUACGUGAAGCACACUGUACCGAAUACUCAGUGAGAGAGGCUGCUUUAUGCCACCCCAACUGGGUCUAACAGAGGAUGCAAAUUAUUCCCACACCUUGCUGUGCCUGAGGGCCAAAUUACUGGUUCGGUUUGGAAGAAUUGUAUCCUUGUCACAUAGGCUGUAAUGCCCACCUUCCCAUUUGCCAGAGCCCUGGGUCCUUUGGGUUUCUAAGGUGGACUGAAACGCUCUCAGCACAGCCAAACUCCUCACCUCACCUGGUCAGACUAUAUCUAAUUAUCUAGGCUCCAGACAGCAACAAGAAAAAGCUUUGAGGUCAGAGAGCCAAUUAGGAAGGUAAGGAGACUAGGGUAUAAAGAGGAAAUAGGACCUGCCAGACAGAAGACAUUACAUAGUCUGAAUAGGGACCUAUUUUUGCAUCUGAGACAUGAUGUCACUUGUGGUGAAGACCUCAAACUAAUUAUCAAAAGGGAGGGAAAUACAAUUUCCAGUAGUUAGAAGAUAUCCACCAGCCCAUAGUUCUCUAUGUAUAAUUCAUGUGAUCCUAAGUAUAAAAGGACACAUUGAGGACAUCCUAAAGAUUCAGGAAGCCACAGUAAUUUAGAAAACUUGUUCCUUUCUUGUUGCAGAAGAUUCUAAAGUUCAUGUCUUGAGAACUGACAUUUUAUCUUCCAGUCAAAAGUGCCGCAUACUCAAUUCUUAGGAAUUUGGUACCAAAAGGAAGUGGGCAGAAUGAAAAUGAAAUAUUGCUUAUGGUUAUUGAGGUGUUAUGGUGGAAUACAGAGGAGCUUGAGACGGAGCUGGGACAGCAGGCAUGGGUUUGAGGCUCAGCUUUGCUGGGGAUGGGUGUGAGGAGGUGAUAAGAGGUGAUAUUUCAAAGCCUGAACUGGCCCUAAGAGCCUCUGAUUCCCCAGCCUGAUACCCAACUGGCUGUCCAGCCCACCAUUCACAGAACUUCUUUGGAGCAUCGACACCAGAAGGUGGCAAUUCCACAAGAGAGAAGGUGGGCAAAGCUGAGAUUAUGAAACAGGUCUCUUAGAGGAGGUUUGGAAAUACUUAGAAGCCAUCAUCUGGCGGGAAGCUUGGCAUGAACAAUGACUCAUGGAGAUGACCUGUGCCUGCCCAGGCAAGACACUUUUUGGAGCAGUCCUGGGCUGGCCAGUAAUGAAGAGAACCUAGCUUUGUUUUCCUAAAGGAUUACUAAGAAAGGCAAGGGGACUGAAUGAGUUAAUGAAUAUGGAAUUUAUAAAGCAGUUUCUCUUUGGAUGCAGAGAAAUGGAAUAGUUGACUACUCAACCUUCAGAAUCCAUUCCACGGAUUAAGAUCAGGAAUAGUAAUUGGAAUAAACUGGAAUCAUGUCUGAGUGAUGGGGAAACCCGGUGUGUCAGCAGGAGCGUUGACUCAGACUGACUUAUUCUUUACUGAAAGAGGGAAGAAAGGAACGACAGGAGGGGUACCUCACCAGGCCCACUGGUAGCUACCUGUCUAACCACAGGGGUAAAGUCUAACACAGAGAGACCCACCCAAGCGGAAGUGCCCCAUGGGUUUCUCAUUUGAAAGGUAUUUAUUCUUGGGGUUGGGGGGUGGGGAAGAGUGGUAGUGGUGCUGGGUGCAAACAUAGGUACAAAGAAUCUGAAAACCACAGACAAAAGGAAAAUGAAAGUAAAGGCCUUUUUUUGAUAUAAACCAUGGAAGCGGGAAAGUAUUAGGUCUGCUGAGCAAGUGAGAAGCAACAAGCAUGUCCUUCAAGGAGCACCUGCCACACGCAGCCACAGCCAUCUGGGUGGUGCAAGAGUGUGCUUACUGGUGGGUCCACAUGGUGAGACGUUCCACCUGGGCUGCUCCUCCCAUGGGCUCCAGCUCUUCCUCUCAACCCUGCAUGCCACCAAGAAGACCUCAAGCCAAGGACAACCCUUCCUGCCCACUCGGGUCCCAGGUCCUGGGGACCUCCACUCUCAGAUAGUUCUUUGCACUAACCCAUUGCCUCAGGAGGCUGCCCUCCGAAUUGGAGGGCAUUGAUGAAGUGCUCAGGAUUUUCUCAAUGGAAGUAUUUCCCCUGUCUGGGGUGGGACAAAAUCACAUGGUUCUAGAAGCUUCCAUCUCUUUCUUUGACUAGCCCUUUUAAGAGCAUGUGCUCUACCCUCUUUCCUUGUGUGAUUGACUUUUUGGCUGUUGGAGGUUAUUGUGUGUUUGUUUUGUUUUUAAAUUUCUGUGUCAUUUCUUUGAGCAAUACAGGAGGGAGGUUCUGUGAUCCUGCUUUAUACCUCCAUCUUUAAAUAGAAGUCUAAUACAUUUAAAACAAAAUUCAGUUCAUUAAAAGGCUGCUCAGCUCAUGUCAUUUCAUGACUAUUAUUUGAAGUGAAGCAUGUCUGAGAAAAGGCAUUACAUUACCUACAGCCCAGGGUGGAAAACCAUUUAGUACAAAGGAUUAAGGAGUUUUGUUCUCUUUUGAUAGGGUGAAGACUUCCUACACGAAGUGAGAUUUCAAUUGCUGAUAGAAGGAAAGGGAAAGGCUGUUUGGGAAAGGCAGCAAGGGUUGCUAAUCUGGAAGCUGCAAUUUCUCAACCUCUACUCUUUAGAAAUGUCUGCCACACAGAGGGCUGGUGAGCAUGCAGUGAGAUGAUCCUGUGAAAGGGUUUGGAGAACCUUAAAACACUCCACAAGAGUGAGGGAUGGUUAGAGUUAGGAUGAGCAGUGAAACACGGCGUUUCUUGUCACUGGAAGAAUCACAAAGAGGCUGGAUGAGCCUGUGCCAGGGGUGCUGGGAGAGAGAACUCAACUCUUGGUGGGUGUUGGGCCAGCUGGCCCCUAAGGCCUGUCCCUGCAUGGGCCCUUGUCAACAGGGCCUGAGAUGAAAGCUCCCACUGUGCCUUCAUUUUCCGCUGUACUCAGAGGAGGCAAGAAACAAUGAGCUCAGCUUGGCCGGAGGACAGGGUGCAUUUUGCUCUCAUCCCUGCAGAGGCUUCUCCCCAAGCAUCAAACCAUGAGGCAGGACCAACUACACAGUGUGUGGGACCCAGUGCAAAAUGAAAAUGCGGAGCCUCUGGUUCAAAAAUUUUAAGAAUCUCAAGAUGGCAACAGCAGAGCAUUAAAACAAGUGCAGGUCACACAUUUAUGAAGUCAGACCUGCCAGCAGAACUGCCAAGGAGGAAACGAGGAAUGGGAAGAGCCAGCCCGCCAUGAGUCCCUGAAGAACUCUUGUAUGCUACAUCCAAGACUUUCUCAGAAGAGCCAACGAUGUCUGAUCUUUGGAGCUUCCAUUGGGUCUCAGUUCAUUUGUUCACUUACUCCUCAAAGAACCACUGAGCUGCUCCCAGGCCAAGCCCUGUGUUAAGAGCCACAGUUACAGAAAUGAGUAAGACAUGGUCCCUGUCUUCAUGAAAUGCAUACUCUAAUCAGGGAAAAGGCCUGGACACAAGUAAUCACGUUGGAAGGCAGACUCUGCUAAGAUCAUGGGAGUACAGAGAAAGAAGACACUAACUCUGCCCUUAGGGAGCCCGGCAUGGUUUCAUUGAAGUUGUAUUUAGCUAGGACAUAAGCAGAAUUUUGACAGGAGAACGUGCAGGAUAGCAUUCCAAGAAGAGCAAUGGUGCAAUCAGAGAUCUAGAAAUGAGAAAGCCCAUGGAGUGUCUGCUUUCAAACUCUUUCUUAAGGCUGGUGUGUUGCAUGACUCCACGAGAGUGCCCCUCACAUAGAAUGCAAUACGAAGGGUGCCCCCUAAAGGUGUGCAGUGUUGUGGUCCUGCCCUUCUUCAUCUGUGUUCUUUCAGUCUGUGCCCCCAGACUUACUCACCUUACACGAACCUAAUUCCAAAUGGGAGCAAAUGAACUAAAGUGGGGUUCGAAGAACACGAGGUAGGAGGAGGCUAAUGCGCAUGUAGUAAGAGAGGCUCAGGAGAGUCUCAUGGAAAACCAGCCUGAUCUGUAAGGAAAAAGUCAGAAUGGGUUGUUGAGAACGAUUUAAAAUUCUUUCUUUUAAUUACUUGCUCAACCAGCAUUUAUCUGGUGCGCUCUGGGAAGAGAAGAGCAGAGCAGAGAAGAAUCUCUCAUUGUUCAUGAUGAUUUAGGCUAGUGUUUCUUCAAGUGUGUUCCUAAGAACAAUAAAUAGUCCAGAGAGAUUCUGAGAUCAAAUAAGAGUUACAGGGAUCAAACACAUUGAGAAAAUAUGUGUAAACAAAGCAAACAGGUUUCUCUGCUCCAAUAUUUAUCAGCGCCUUUAAAAUCUUAACAUAGUUUGUGAGUCUCCAUGAGUGGGAGAUGGCAGCAAUAGUUCCCAAAGUUAUUUGAACUAUAAACCCCGUACGUUCCCAUGGAACUGGUAAGGUUGAUUAAAACCUUCCUGGGGAAACCCAAGAUUGGGGACAGGAGUUCUGAGGCAUCACUGUGAUAAUGGCAAACAAAAGAAAAAGGAUUCGUAAACGCAUGGGCAGAUGGUGUGGCAAGAAGACGCAUCAUCUCUCUCACUCCAUCCAGGAAGACUUCCUGGAGGGUGCGUGGCCUCAGGAACCAUCGAGGGAAGACAGGGCAGUCUGAAGGGAUUGAAGCUUAAUCUGUGUCACAUGAAAGCAAACAUGUACUUGGGGGAGAAUAACCAUGCAGUAAAAUGUUGUGGACUUAAGUGUCUGUUGGAACAUGCUUUGAGGGAAGGACAAGGAGGAAGGAGGAGGCCCCGGGCUUGCCUGCUCUCCAGCUGUGCCCAGCCUGAUAAAGCAAGCUCCUUGCCUUCUGGGAGCUCCUAGCAUGAUGGAGGGAUGAAGGAAAUGAUGGCUUCCAAAACACUGGACAUGAGGCCACAAAGGUCAGUGGUAGCUGAGAGAUGGGAAACAAACAAAGCAAGCCCCAGAACUGCCCCAGUUUACGGCCUUGAGAGAAUUUCUAAGCCACAGUGCAGGGAAGGGAAACCAAGAUGGAGCCCAGCAGAUUUUGUAAGUGAAGAGGAGGAGCUGGGAGUCUGGGGAGACGCAGGAAGCUACAGGACCCAUACGAGAGUAUCCAAGAGAAGAGAUUUGCACGGAAAGAGAACCCUGGAAAUGUUCAAGUUUUUGGCAGAGCACUGAUCAGCAUAUGUAUGUGAAGAAACCACCCACAGCUGGGGAAAGGACCACCCAGAAGGAUGAAGGGAAGAGUACUCAGAGCUCACACAGGGCUGGGAAAGCUUCCUAUGCCCACCAGUCAGACUGGAAAAAUUCAUAAUUUAUGGGUAGAGUACUCAGAAGGAUCUUGCUUCAGUCGUGAAAAAUAAUUAGCCUUAGACUGAAUACUGCUUUCAUGUCACCUAACGAAUCUUAAAGACCUGAAAGGA
This is a long non-coding RNA of Equus caballus (horse), 7228 nucleotides long. RefSeq lists it as uncharacterized. The record is from RefSeq and is a predicted model, not a curated record. Lineage: Eukaryota; Metazoa; Chordata; Mammalia; Perissodactyla; Equidae.